This is a long non-coding RNA of Sarcophilus harrisii (Tasmanian devil), 568 nucleotides long. RefSeq lists it as uncharacterized. Lineage: Eukaryota; Metazoa; Chordata; Mammalia; Dasyuromorphia; Dasyuridae. The transcript has 3 exons. The record is from RefSeq and is a predicted model, not a curated record.
ACCAUCAUUCUGGCAUGCAUAUCUUUCCUGCUGCUCUUCUAAAUUACCACGGACAUGAAAAAUGUCUCAAUCCUUCUUUUUUGUUUGCUCUGCUCCUCCAGAAUUGGAUUUGAGGUGUUAUCUUAAAGUAGUUUGGAAGGGAAUGCUGGAUUUUCUGAUUUGCUGACCAUGUUCUAUAAUUUUUACUGUAUUUUCCUGAGUACACAAAGGCAACAUUCUUUUAAAAAUUAUGAAGAAACAAAGAAAAGACAUUUAAAUGCAAUAUUGGGAAGCUGUAAAGUGAUUUGUUUGAGGUUUUAAUAAAGAUAUGAAAAUGAUGAAAACAAAACAAAACAACAAGUAUCAAAGAAAUUCAGAUUUAUUCAAGAGAAGGCCAGAACUUAAGUGAAAGAUCUUCAGACCUGAAAAUGAUGGAAGUGUGAAAUUUGAGCCUUGGAAAGUUAAAUAAUCAUAAAAAGUAAGAUUUAAACUCUCAUCUUUUUACAUCAGAGUCAGCCUCUUUUUAACUCCUUGAUCUCAUAUUCUAAAUGUGCAUUUCAAUUUGACUCAUAAAAUUUUACCUUCCUCU